RNAcentral lists this ribosomal RNA (460 nucleotides) under uncultured bacterium. RNAcentral describes it as "partial 16S ribosomal RNA". It matches the Rfam family "Bacterial small subunit ribosomal RNA", at positions 338 to 795 of the family's 1533-position model. The record is from RNAcentral.
CCUACGGGAGGCUGCAGUGAGGAAUAUUGGUCAAUGGACGAGAGUCUGAACCAGCCAAGUAGCGUGAAGGAUGACUGCCCUAUGGGUUGUAAACUUCUUUUAUAAAGGAAUAAAACGAGGCACGUGUGCCUUUUUGCAUGUACUUUAUGAAUAAGGAUCGGCUAACUCCGUGCCAGCAGCCGCGGUAAUACGGAGGAUCCGAGCGUUAUCCGGAUUUAUUGGGUUUAAAGGGAGCGUAGAUGGGUUGUUAAGUCAGUUGUGAAAGUUUGCGGCUCAACCGUAAAAUUGCAAUUGAUACUGGCAGUCUUGAGUACAGUUGAGGUAGGCGGAAUUCGUGGUGUAGCGGUGAAAUGCUUAGAUAUCACGAAGAACCCCGAUUGCGAAGGCAGCUUACCAAACUGUGACUGACAUUGAUGCUCGAAAGUGUGGGUAUCAAACAGGAUUAGAUACCCCAGUAGUC